CCAGACUCCUACGGGAGGCAGCAGUGAGGAAUAUUGGUCAAUGGUCGGGAGACUGAACCAGCCAAGCCGCGUGAGGGAUGAAGGUACAGAGUAUCGUAAACCUCUUUUGUCAGGGAACAAAGGCGGGGACGUGUCCCCGGAUGGGUGUACCUGAAGAAAAAGCAUCGGCUAACUCCGUGCCAGCAGCCGCGGUAAUACGGAGGAUGCGAGCGUUAUCCGGAUUUAUUGGGUUUAAAGGGUGCGCGGGCGGCAGCGCAAGUCGGGGGUAAAAUGGGGGGGCCCACCCUCUGCCCGCCGUUGAAACUGCGUUUCUUGAGUGGGCGAGAAGUACGCGGAAUGCGUGGUGUAGCGGUGAAAUGCAUAGAUAUCGCGCAGAACUCCGAUUGCGAAGGCAGCAUGCCGGCUCCACACUGACGCUGAGGCACGAAAGCGUGGGUAUCGAACAGGAUUAGAUACCCCCGUA
RNAcentral lists this ribosomal RNA (463 nucleotides) under uncultured bacterium. RNAcentral's name for it is "bacterial SSU rRNA". It matches the Rfam family "Bacterial small subunit ribosomal RNA", at positions 331 to 792 of the family's 1533-position model. The record is from RNAcentral.